AACGCAUAUUGCGCCCUCUGGUAUUCCGGGGGGCAUGCCUGUCCGAGCGUCAUUAUCCAUAACUCAAGCACGGCUUGUUUGUUGAGCAAAUUGCUUUCGUAAUAGGGAGCAGGCUCGAAAUGCAGUGGUGAACGAUAGUUUGAUUGCCCGAGUGUUAUGGGGCUUUGUCAUACACUCUUGUGGCUCAACUGGCGUUCUACCGUCUUAACCCCCUAAUCUAUAACUAGGUUGACCUCGGAUCAGGUAGGAAUACCCGCUGAACUUAA
Molecule: unclassified non-coding RNA, 266 nt
Filed under: uncultured Eurotiomycetes
Lineage: Eukaryota; Fungi; Ascomycota; Eurotiomycetes
Description: sequence contains 5.8S rRNA gene, ITS2, 28S rRNA gene
Rfam family: 5.8S ribosomal RNA (bases 1-52)
Source: RNAcentral